This 253-nucleotide ribosomal RNA is filed under the name uncultured bacterium. RNAcentral describes it as "partial 16S ribosomal RNA". It matches the Rfam family "Bacterial small subunit ribosomal RNA", at positions 524 to 776 of the family's 1533-position model. The record is from RNAcentral.
UACGUAGGGGGCAAGCGUUGUCCGGAUUUAUUGGGCGUAAAGAGCGUGUAGGCGGCCAUGCAGGUCAGCUGUGAAAACUCGAGGCUCAACCUCGAGACGUCGGUUGAAACCGUAUGGCUAGAGUCCGGAAGAGGAGAGUGGAAUUCCCGGUGUAGCGGUGAAAUGCGUAGAUAUCGUCUGGAACGCCAAAGGUGAAAACAGACUGCUGGGAGUGUGCUGACGCUGAGACACGAAAGCCAGGGGAGCAAACGGG